UCAAACACCAGGCUGGGGGGGGGGGGAAGAGGGAGGGGCGUGGGGUGAAUCGGAAUUACGGGGCGGAAAGCGGGCGACGUGGGGUGGUUAAGCGAGAGGGGAAAGCCCUGGGCGCAACCUAGGAAUAGCAUUUCGAACUGGCGAACUAGAGUCUUGUAGAGGGGGGUAGAACUCCAGGUGUAGCGGUGAAAUGCGUAGAGAUCUGGAGGAAUACCGGUGGCGAAGGCGGCCCCCUGGACAAAGACUGACGCUCAUGCACGAAAGCGUGGGGAGCAAACAGGAUUAGAUACCCGGGUAGUC
RNAcentral lists this ribosomal RNA (300 nucleotides) under uncultured Bhargavaea sp. RNAcentral's name for it is "partial 16S ribosomal RNA". The stretch from base 52 to 300 matches the Rfam family "Bacterial small subunit ribosomal RNA", at positions 547 to 795 of the family's 1533-position model. The record is from RNAcentral. Lineage: Bacteria; Bacillati; Bacillota; Bacilli; Caryophanales; Caryophanaceae.